This 406-nucleotide ribosomal RNA is filed under the name uncultured bacterium. Its description in RNAcentral is "partial 16S ribosomal RNA". It matches the Rfam family "Bacterial small subunit ribosomal RNA", at positions 30 to 526 of the family's 1533-position model. The record is from RNAcentral.
AUUGAACGCUGGCGGCAGGCCUAACACAUGCAAGUCGAACGAGUGGCGGACGGGUGAGUAAUGUCUGGGAAACUGCCUGAUGGAGGGGGAUAACUACUGGAAACGGUAGCUAAUACCGCAUACCAUCAGAUGUGCCCAGCUGGGAUUGCCUUGUUGGUGGGGUAACGGCUCACAAAGGCGACGAUCCCUAGCUGGUCUGAGUGGAUGACCAGCCCCACUGGAACUGAGAAACGGUCCAGACUCCAACGGGAGGCAGCUGUGUGGAAUAUUGCAAAAUGGGCUCAAGCCUGAUGCAGCCAUGCCGCGUGUAUUAAGAAGGCCUUCGGGUUGUAAAGUACUUUCAGCGGGGAGGCGUUACCCGCAGAAGAAGCACCGGCUAACUCCGUGCCAGCAGCCGCGGUAAUUC